CAGCUCGAACCCGUUAACUGUGAAAUCGUGACCUGAGCCGAAGUCAGAGGCUCAACCGACGGAGCCACCCAGGUGCCCCUGGAUUGGCCUCUUUGGGGGGAUAUCUUCUCGGGAGAGAAGGUGUUUAACCCUGCUUAAGUUAAACAGAUGUACUUCCACGUACAGGUAACCCCCGCAAGUCCCUCCCAGGGCCUGCACCUUCUGUCUAGCUGACCCAGGACGGCGUUGAGAGCAAACAGCGCCCCUAGGGACCCAACUUGGCACACAUGCAUAAUUGCCUUCAGUUUCCCACUCUCCCUCGCCACUCCGCUCUUGGGGUUCAGGUGACUCUACUUGGAGGUAUUCCGGGAUUCUGAAGUUGGUGAAAAGAAACUUAAUUUUCAACCAAAGAAAUAAGGAGAUGUUCCUUUCAUAUUUUCUGAACCUCUCACCUGAAAGAGCCCCAAAUCUUCCUCUUGAAAAUCCUAGACUUCAAAAGCGAUUUAAGACCUUUAAUAAGUGAGCUAACUCCCUCUAUCUUAUUACUUCCCAUCAAAAUAAAACAACGUAUGUAAUUGGGAGAUCAGGGGAGGAUCAGGGAAAUUAUUGUGUUUGUUCCUUGGAUUCUGCCAAGGGAUCUUCCCACAUUUACGAGAAAGAAAAGGGCACUGUCUCUGGGACGGAGGUUUGAACACGUCUCUAGGAAGAUCCUAAGACACAGAGGCUCAUGUACUGUCUCAGAAGACUCCAGUAAGGGCAUCGCCAAGCGCUUUCUGAUUUUCAGUCAGUCACAGGUGUGUGCUGGCGUCCUGGCCUGUGUGAUGUCUUCAGAGAGAGUGUCUCUGCUGUGUAGACGAGCCAUCACUGGACUGUUCCAAGAGCCAGCCAAGGACAAAGUGUGGACCUUGAAACAGGGAGCAGUGAAGAAAUCCUUAACUUCUCCAGAAGCCGGAGUCCAGCAUCCCGCGUAAGGCCUUUCAGCGUGUGUGCACACCCAGGGCACAAAGCAGCAUCUUGUACACGGGCACCUGCCCGUGAUCCACACCCAGACAUUAGCAUGCAGAAACCUGGAGUCUGAAACCACAUGUCAACGCACAGGGAAAAACGCUCUUGAUUUCGAGUAGAUGGUCCCCAUUAUGGCACAAAGUGCAGCUACUGUUAACGUUGUGAGGCUGUCAGAGGACAAACCUUUUAUCACUCGCAGAGCUCGGAAUCGAAGCAGGGAUCCUAGACACUGGAGAACGUAAUGGAGCCUUCAAAGCCAUUCUGCAGCCGCACCGACCAUGGCUGUGUGGUGCCCUUGACACACUAAGGUUCAAGGGCUUACGUGUCCUUAUGUCUCCUGGAAAAGACACAUGCAACGUUACCAAUUUGUCUCUAGUUCCGUUUAUAAACUUUUCAAGAAAAUGAUUUCUUCCUGGCCUUGAUACAAGGUUACCACACACGCAGAAAGGAGAUGUAAUUUCUCCCCAGCCGG
This is a long non-coding RNA of Felis catus (domestic cat), 1456 nucleotides long. RefSeq lists it as uncharacterized. The record is from RefSeq and is a predicted model, not a curated record. Lineage: Eukaryota; Metazoa; Chordata; Mammalia; Carnivora; Felidae. The transcript is spliced from 3 exons.